AAGUGAGAAUGCCGGUAUGAGUAGCGAAAGACAGGUGAGAAUCCUGUCCACCGUAAGACUAAGGUUUCCAGGGGAAGGCUCGUCCGCCCUGGGUUAGUCGGGACCUAAGGAGAGACCGAAAGGUGUAUCCGAUGGACAACAGGUUGAUAUUCCUGUACUAGAGUAUAUAGUGAUGGAGGGACGCAGUAGGCUAACUAAACCAGACGAUUGGAAGUGUCUGGCCAAGCAGUGAGGUGUGAUAUGAGUCAAAUGCUUAUAUCUUUAACAUUGAGCUGUGAUGGGGAGCGAAGUUUAGUAGCGAAGUUAGUGAUGUCACACUGCCGAGAAAAGCUUCUAGCGUUAAUUAUACUCUACCCGUACCGCAAACCGACACAGGUAGUCGAGGCGAGUAGCCUCAGGUGAGCGAGAGAACUCUCGUUAAGGAACUCGGCAAAAUGGCCCCGUAACUUCGGGAGAAGGGGCGCUGACUGAUGGUCAGCCGCAGUGAAUAGGCCCAAGCAACUGUUUAUCAAAAACACAGCUCUCUGCUAAAUCGUAAGAUGAUGUAUAGGGGGUGACGCCUGCCCGGUGCUGGAAGGUUAAGAGGAGUGCUUAGCGUAAGCGAAGGUACGAAUUGAAGCCCCAGUAAACGGCGGCCGUAACUAUAACGGUCCUAAGGUAGCGAAAUUCCUUGUCGGGUAAGUUCCGACCCGCACGAAAGGCGUAAUGAUUUGAGCACUGUCUCGACAAUACAUCCGGUGAAAUUGAAGUACCAGUGAAGAUGCUGGUUACCCGCGCCAGGACGGAAAGACCCCAUGGAGCUUUACUCCAGUUUGGUACUGGGAUUCGGUACUGCACGUACAGGAUAGGUGGGAGACUUUGAAACUUGAACGCCAGUUUGAGUGGAGUCGCUGUUGGGAUACCACCCCUGCAGUAUUGGAUUUCUAACCAGUCACCGUGAUCCGGUGAUGGGACAAUGCCAGGCGGGGAGUUUGACUGGGGCGGUCGCCUCCGAAAGGGUAUCGGAGGCGCUCAAAGGUUCCCUCAGAAUGGUCGGAAACCAUUUGAAGAGUGCAAAGGCAGAAGGGAGCUUGACUGCGACACCGACGGGUGGAGCAGGUAGGAAACUAGGACUUAGUGAUCCGGUGGCAUAAAGUGGGAUUGCCAUCGCUCAACGGAUAAAAGCUACCCUGGGGAUAACAGGCUUAUCACUCCCAAGAGUUCACAUCGACGGAGUGGUUUGGCACCUCGAUGUCGGCUCAUCGCAUCCUGGGGCUGUAGCAGGUCCCAAGGGUUGGGCUGUUCGCCCAUUAAAGCGGUACGCG
This 1304-nucleotide ribosomal RNA is filed under the name human gut metagenome. RNAcentral's name for it is "bacterial LSU rRNA". It matches the Rfam family "Bacterial large subunit ribosomal RNA", at positions 1286 to 2602 of the family's 2925-position model. The record is from RNAcentral.